AAAGGUGUUAAAUUCCAUGACAGUUAAAAAAAAUAUUGUGCUAUUUACUUGUCAUUUUUUCUUUCUCUCUUUCCUUCUUUCCUUCUUUGUUGAAAUAGUCUAUUUUCUCUGAUGGAGUCUCGGCUUUCGUUAGCCCAGAGGGUGAGUCUCUCUUUACCUCCAGGUUUGUUUCUUGAUGACUCCUUGCAUAGAUCGACAAGCGGUUUUCUGUAUGCGUGCCAACAUGGCUUGUUUGUUCUCUAAGCCUUUUCAAUUAUGAAUUGCUCUACUUUGAUUUUUCUGAUACCAUUUGUUACUCCUCUUGAAUUGGUUCUUUUAUUUGGGUUUCAUAUCCAUGAUCAACACCUCCUCACCUGCCUUUUUUAUUGUUUAGUGCUUGUUUUAAAAAUCUUCUAAGUUACUCUUGACAAUCUCUUUAUCGUUGAUUGGUUUUUCGCGAGUUUUCUGAGAUGGUCGACGGUGACGUGUUGGAAGGCGUCAAAAGUUUCUUCAGUUGACUAGCAUCUUUAGGGUUAUAUUAGUUUUUGGGCCUUUUUAGAUCUCUUAAGUGUUUUUUUUGGCUUGUUGUGAUGUAAUACAUCUCUAUUAAUAGAGAUCUUUAAC
Long non-coding RNA from Manihot esculenta (cassava), 603 nucleotides. RefSeq lists it as uncharacterized. The transcript has 2 exons. The record is from RefSeq and is a predicted model, not a curated record. NCBI's taxonomy places the organism in Eukaryota, Viridiplantae, Streptophyta, Magnoliopsida, Malpighiales, Euphorbiaceae.